GUUGAGGUGAAUGUUGUCUGGUUCGAUGUCAUUCAUUUUGUGAAGCUGAAACAUUAACUGAAUGAUUUCGGACCAGGCUUCAUUCCCCCCAAC
This is a non-coding RNA of Ricinus communis (castor bean), 93 nucleotides long. NCBI's taxonomy places the organism in Eukaryota, Viridiplantae, Streptophyta, Magnoliopsida, Malpighiales, Euphorbiaceae. The record is from Rfam.